UACGUAGGGGGCGAGCGUUGUCCGGAUUUAUUGGGCGUAAAGAGCGUGUAGGCGGCCAGGUAGGUGGGUUGUGAAAACUGGAGGCUCAACCUUCAGACGUCGACCCAAACCCCUUGGCUAGAGUCCGGAAGAGGAGAGUGGAAUUCCUGGUGUAGCGGUGAAAUGCGCAGAUAUCAGGAGGAACACCCGUGGCGAAAGGCGGCUCUCUGGGGACGGUACUGACGCUGAGACGCGAAAGCGUGGGGGAGCAAACAGGAUUAG
RNAcentral lists this ribosomal RNA (261 nucleotides) under uncultured bacterium. RNAcentral describes it as "partial 16S ribosomal RNA". It matches the Rfam family "Bacterial small subunit ribosomal RNA", at positions 524 to 781 of the family's 1533-position model. The record is from RNAcentral.